Molecule: ribosomal RNA, 305 nt
Filed under: uncultured bacterium
Lineage: Bacteria
Description: bacterial SSU rRNA
Rfam family: Bacterial small subunit ribosomal RNA
Source: RNAcentral
UGUUACCUACGGGGGGCAGCAGUGGGGAAUAUUGCACAAUGGGGGAAACCCUGAUGCAGCAACGCCGCGUGAGUGAAGAAGUAUUUCGGUAUGUAAAGCUCUAUCAGCAGGGAAGAAGAUGACGGUACCUGAGUAAGAAGCCCCGGCUAACUACGUGCCAGCAGCCGCGGUAAUACGUAGGGGGCAAGCGUUAUCCGGAUUUACUGGGUGUAAAGGGAGCGUAGACGGUGAGACAAGUCUGAAGUGAAAGCCCGGGGAUCAACCCCGGGACUGCUUUGGAAACUGCAUGACGGGAGUGUUGGAGG